CCCCCGAUAGCUUACAUAAAGCAUAACUCUGAAGCGGUUAAGACGAUAUACUUCUCCCUCCC
This 62-nucleotide transfer RNA is filed under the name Questa ersei. Its description in RNAcentral is "tRNA-Phe". Lineage: Eukaryota; Metazoa; Annelida; Polychaeta; Questidae. The record is from RNAcentral.